AAGAUUCAUUCAGGGACUGGAGGGCAGUUGAGACACUGAGGGUUCCCAGGAAAUUGUUCAAGGCUUUUGGGAGAGUCUUCAGAGACAGAGAAACCAAGCACCCCUAAACCAGUUUUGUGUAUCAUGGAAAGGGGAGAAGAGGACCCCCUCUCUAAGGGGAAUUGGGUCCUAAAGUAGAAACACAAAACUUGAGGGGCUUAGUCCUAUUUG
This 210-nucleotide long non-coding RNA is filed under the name Bos taurus (domestic cattle). RNAcentral's name for it is "long non-coding RNA NONBTAT007685". The record is from RNAcentral. Lineage: Eukaryota; Metazoa; Chordata; Mammalia; Artiodactyla; Bovidae.